AACGUAGGUGGCGAGCGUUAUCCGGAUUGACUGGGCGUAAAGGGUGUGCAGGCGGACGGCCAAGUGGUGUGUGAAAUCGUCGGGCUCAACCCGGCGAGGUCAGGCCAGACUGGUCGUCUGGAGUGCGGGAGAGGGGCGUGGAAUUCCGGGUGUAGUGGUGAAAUGCGUAGAGAUCCGGAGGAACCCCAGAGGCGAAGGCGGCGCCCUGGCCCGACACUGACGCUGAGACACGACAGCAUGGGGAGCGAACGGG
This 253-nucleotide ribosomal RNA is filed under the name uncultured bacterium. RNAcentral describes it as "partial 16S ribosomal RNA". It matches the Rfam family "Bacterial small subunit ribosomal RNA", at positions 524 to 776 of the family's 1533-position model. The record is from RNAcentral.